This 73-nucleotide transfer RNA is filed under the name Candidatus Pacearchaeota archaeon. RNAcentral describes it as "tRNA-Gln". It matches the Rfam family "tRNA". From Rfam's summary of the family: Transfer RNA (tRNA) molecules are approximately 80 nucleotides in length. The record is from RNAcentral. Lineage: Archaea; Nanobdellati.
AGCCCCAUAGUGUAGUGGUCAAGCAUACGGGAUUCUGGGUCCCGUGACCCAGGUUCGAAUCCUGGUGGGGCUA